UACGUAGGGGCCUAGCGUUGUCCGGAUUUAUUGGGCGUAAAGAGCGCGUAGGCGGCCGAGUAAGUCCGACGUGAAAUCUGGAGGCUCAACCUCCAGCGGUCGUUGGAAACUACUCGGCUAGAGACCGGAAGAGGAGAGUGGAAUUCCUGGUGUAGCGGUGAAAUGCGCAGAUAUCAGGAAGAACACCGGUGGCGAAGGCGGGUCUCUGGGCCACUACUGACGCUGAGGAGCGAAAGCGUGGGGAGCGAACAGG
Molecule: ribosomal RNA, 253 nt
Filed under: uncultured bacterium
Lineage: Bacteria
Description: partial 16S ribosomal RNA
Rfam family: Bacterial small subunit ribosomal RNA
Source: RNAcentral